RNAcentral lists this long non-coding RNA (240 nucleotides) under Elaeis guineensis (African oil palm). RNAcentral describes it as "long non-coding RNA (EGUI_LNC077753)". Lineage: Eukaryota; Viridiplantae; Streptophyta; Magnoliopsida; Arecales; Arecaceae. The record is from RNAcentral.
AACUAAUCCAUGCGCCAUGGUCUUAUCUUGUCCGCCCCAUAUUUUAUACGAGAAAAUAUUUCUCGUGUAAACUCUCCACACACAAAUCAACUCACGCCCCUUCUCUUCUCACGCACAAGUGGAUAGAGAUGAGUUGGUUUUGCAUUUGAAUUCAAAUUUGAUUUGAAUUCAAAUGUGCAACCACUUAUCUUUAUCCUCUCACGCGGAUAAGACACGUUCGAUGUUGUUUUAAAAAGAAGA